UACGGGGGGGGCAAGCGUUGUUCGGAAUUACUGGGCGUAAAGGGCUCGUAGGCGGCCAACUAAGUCAGACGUGAAAUCCCUCGGCUUAACCGGGGAACUGCAUCUGAUACUGGAUGGCUUGAGUUCGGGAGAGGGAUGCGGAAUUCCAGGUGUAGCGGUGAAAUGCGCAGAUAUCAGGAAGAACACCCGUGGCGAAAGCGGCUCUCUGGAACGGUACUGACGCUGAGACGCGAAAGCGUGGGGAGCAAACAGG
Molecule: ribosomal RNA, 253 nt
Filed under: uncultured bacterium
Lineage: Bacteria
Description: partial 16S ribosomal RNA
Rfam family: Bacterial small subunit ribosomal RNA
Source: RNAcentral